Molecule: long non-coding RNA, 92 nt
Organism: Etheostoma spectabile (orangethroat darter)
Lineage: Eukaryota; Metazoa; Chordata; Actinopteri; Perciformes; Percidae
Exons: 3
Source: RefSeq, a predicted model, not a curated record
UGUACUAUUUAGACAUAUGCUAAAACAUAAUUGAAGUGCUGUCAUGAGCAUGCCAAGCCAACAAACGGCGACAUCACCCCAGUAGCGCAAAG